UCCACACUGAUCUCCAGAGAGGGGACAAAGAAAAAUCAAACAAGUAAAAUCAAGCUAACUAGCAGCCAGCCAAUGCUGUGCACUGCUAACGCUGACCAGCCACACACAAGGAGACUUGGAUUUGUCCUCACUCAUCUUCUCUAGGGCUUUCGAGUUAAGAAAACCUUAAACCUUGGAACCAGUUUGCUCAUUUCUUUCUCAUUUCAGUCAUCACCCUAACCCAUCUCUGAUGAAGAGACAGCACUUCAAAAGCUGGAGAGUAGUUCCUAAGAUAGCUGUGGCCGGAGUGUGAACUUCCUAAUUAACGACCUCCACAAAAGGAUAGCAAAUACAAUGACACUAAAAUGAAUGGAAAAUUCAACUAACCUGUGAAGGAGCAUGUGCUGGAACCAGAAACACAUCAUCUGUGCCGAGCCUUUCAUCUGAAAUUCCAGUUUUGCACGAAAUUAAACCAGCAUAUUGGUGAUGCAACUUUAAGUAAGGUGUGCUGAUGUAUUGUUUUCAAAAGAUGUGAAAAAUCAAAAUGUUCUUCUACUUGAAUCAUUUGACAACAAUAUGAAACACAGCAGGACCAAUGUAACUUGGAAAGAGAUGAAAUCUCUGCUGCCCAUUCCCUGCCUCUCACUACAUCCCCUUCCUGUGCUCCGUAAGAACACAGAUGGUCAGACCUACCGGCUAACCCGAAGACAUGGCUAAUGAGGUAAUGAGAUCCAUUCCACUAAAGUAUGCAGCAGUCGUAGUGACACCGAAGAGUACGACAGCUCAAAACAACAAAAGUGGAAAUCAGGAAUAAGCAGAGGCCUUCAAUAGGUGCACGUUUCCCACAGACAUCCUUUCUAGUAACCUUCAACCCCUCUCCUUCACACUCUGCUAAU
Choloepus didactylus (southern two-toed sloth) is the source of this 875-nucleotide long non-coding RNA. RefSeq lists it as uncharacterized. The transcript is spliced from 4 exons. The record is from RefSeq and is a predicted model, not a curated record. NCBI's taxonomy places the organism in Eukaryota, Metazoa, Chordata, Mammalia, Pilosa, Megalonychidae.